AUUAAUGAUGGCUCUGUUCUAUUCAAGUGUUCCAGUAAGCCCUGACAGUGUGCCAGUGAGCCAGCAUGCACAAUACCAGGAGCCUGAAACUGAAUGCACUACAUAGAAACCAUUAAUUUUAUUAUUUACACCUGUGUUUCUCCUACUGUGACAUAUCAAAAUGUCCCCUGUGGAAAAGGCCUAUUUGAGUCUAAAAACAUAGAAUUUGGAGAAACCAGGCACUGAACUGGAACACAGUUUGAGACACAGCAGGUGGCAUAAAAGGCAGUUUACUGUGAUCAAGCUUACAUGGUCACAGGAUCAGGAAAACGUUUCAGAAAAUCAGCAGGUAAUCCAGACAGGUACCAAAAACAGGGAACAACAGCAGAUUGGAAACUACUCUCUGUACGUGCUGGAAGCUAAUGAGCAUUUGAGGAGCAGCUGUGUAGAAAGGCAUCCAAUAACAAGAGCAGUCCGGUCAACAGAGGAGGGAAACUCACUGAGGAUAUCUAGUGGACAGAGCGAACCUGUAUGGACAGUGUUGUCAAUGAUGACUUCACCCCACACAAAAUAACAUUGCAGAAACCAGCUUUGAAGCUACACCAGAAUACAGCUGCCACAGCUAGAACCACAGCGAUGACCACCGUGAGGAUGCCUACAGCUAUCCCGAGACCCAUCCUGGAGUCCGAGUCCGAGUCACUGCUGGAUGCAGCUGCUCACAAGACAACCAGAGUACAAAUAUACUAACAUUCAGUGAAGGCAUCAUUGCAUCCCCAUGCACAAAUCAUAAUCUGCACACCAUGAGGCAGAUAAAGCCUUGAGGCAACCACUGGACAACUCAUGGUCACAUUAAUUAUUAAUUAAUUUCACUGUCAUUGAGAUAGUACUUAGAUGGAAUAAAUGAAACAUUUAUAUUCCUCUUGGAAUCUAAAUGUUUAAUCAUCUGGUGAACUAAUAAGAAGUGCAUUACAGGGAAUUAAACAAUACCAUACCUUCCUCCUUAGAUGUCAGUGCUGAUAGAAACAGAUGAAAGGAGAAAAUUAAUUACAAUUAGUAUUUGUGAUGAUUUUUUCUCACUAUGCCACAAACUUACCCUCUGGUCCUCCAUGCAUUCAAAGUGGACAUAGUUAAAGAGUCUGAGGUAUGUGAGUUAUACUGUAAAUUGUUCAUUGUAAAUCCAAUGAUAGACAUUAUUACACAAGCCAAAACCUCUAUGCAGGGUCAUAUGGAUUUUGAAAAUAAUUAACUUGAUUUACAGAAUACAGUACAGAUAAUACAUAAUAUUACACUAUAUAUUUCCCUGUUGUACAUUCUAUAUUAUAGUUCUGAAUAAUGAAGACAGUAUACCCAUAAUAAUGAUGACAGUAUACCCAUAAUUAGGAAAUGUGGAUUAACACUGAACCCCAAAGCUGUAUCUUUAUAUUACAUUUAUAUAAAACAGUUGGGAUGUUAAUGUUUCCCAACAAGCAUUUUUAUGGUCUUUGUAAACCAUGAUAUGCUCACCAUAACCCCGUGAUAAUCAGAACUUCACAUAUUUCAGUGAAAAAAAUCAUGAGCAUUAUAUAGAACCUUAAGUGUUAUACAUUCAAACCAAUACAUAUAUUUAUUUAUAUAUUCCCACUAUUACGUUAUGUAAAAUCACACUCAUGAUGCAUUUUUCAUCUCUGGUGUGAUUAUAAUGUGAUGUUAUGAUAAUGGCUUAUUAUAACAUGGUCAUUAAACCUGAGUAAGCUAUCUCCAGUUAAGCCAUUUAGCAGUUUUCCCUCUGUACCAUGCCACAUCAAUACCUAAGGCAACAAAGUAUUGUACAUUCAGUUUUUAUAAAUGUUGUUAAUUUGCUGAUUGCUCU
Molecule: long non-coding RNA, 1828 nt
Organism: Thunnus maccoyii (southern bluefin tuna)
Lineage: Eukaryota; Metazoa; Chordata; Actinopteri; Scombriformes; Scombridae
Exons: 3
Source: RefSeq, a predicted model, not a curated record